AGUGAACGCUGGCGGUAGGCCUAACACAUGCAAGUCGAACGGCAGCACAGUAAGAGCUUGCUCUUACGGGUGGCGAGUGGCGGACGGGUGAGGAAUACAUCGGAAUCUACUUUUUCGUGGGGGAUAACGUAGGGAAACUUACGCUAAUACCGCAUACGACCUACGGGUGAAAGCAGGGGAUCUUCGGACCUUGCGCGAUUGAAUGAGCCGAUGUCGGAUUAGCUAGUUGGCGGGGUAAAGGCCCACCAAGGCGACGAUCCGUAGCUGGUCUGAGAGGAUGAUCAGCCACAAUGGAACUGAGACACGGUCCAGACUCCUACGGGAGGCAGCAGUGGGGAAUAUUGGACAAGGGGCGAAAGCCUGAUCCAGCCAGACCGCGGGGGUGAAGAAGGCCUGCGGGUUGUAAAGCCCUUUUGUUGGGAAAGAAAAGCAGCAGGUUAAUACCCCGCUGUUCUGACGGUACCAAAAGAAUAAGCACCGGCGAACUUCGU
Molecule: ribosomal RNA, 491 nt
Filed under: uncultured bacterium
Lineage: Bacteria
Description: partial 16S ribosomal RNA
Rfam family: Bacterial small subunit ribosomal RNA
Source: RNAcentral